UUGACCCUUUCUCUACCUCAAAACUGCUGCUGCUCUUUAUUUCUUUAAUAUUGGACUUUAUUUCUUUCAGUAAGGGUCUUUUAAUACUGCCCUUAUCGACUACCUUGUCAACAUUGGAAUCCACCUUAUUUCAUCAUCGUGAACACCAAAAAGCCAAACAAUGGCAGAUGGUGGAGUUUGAAAAGAAUAAUUGAGACUCUUUGAAUGGCGAUUGAAGUUCAACUGAUACUCAGACCAUGUUGCUUGAAAGAUCCCAAUAAUGAGGUUUUUUAAUACCGGAAACUGUAGAGGGUUCUUUGUUUCCGGCGGUGGAAUGGACGCAUCAAUCACUGGGUUUGAAGAGGGGUUAUCGCAUACAUGGUCAGCCUAGGGUUAGGAUGAAGAUGCAGUGAGAUGACGGCACAGGACAUCUUAAUUUAUGCAAAAAAAUCUGAUUUGUUUCGAUUCAGUAUGGAGACCACUCCAGUCGAUCGAUGAGGUAUUUGAAACGUUGAAAUUACAAAUGAGGGAUUGACGAGUGAAGAAGGGAAUAAGAGGCUUAAUGUAUUGGCCCUAACAAGCUAGAAGAGAACAAGGUAGACCAAUAACUACUAUUAAAACAUUAUAUUUGGUCUUUGAUUUGGCAUCAUCAUUGAUAUAUAGUGUUUCUUUCUAGGCAUAUACUUCUGUGUUAUACCUCAGAAAGAAAGUUUGAGAACUUCAAAAUUCAUUUUAAGAGGGAAACCUUAGGGUGCAAACGAGUAGAGCGGCUCGCGAGCUACUCGAGAUCAGCUCGAGAAAAAGCUCGAAACGAACCGAGCUUGAGCCUAAAAUAAAAGCUCGUUUGUUUAUCGAGCCCGAGCUCGAGCCUUACUGUAAACGAGCCGAGCCAAGCUGAGCUUAUUUAAACUUGUUUACGAGCCGACCCCGAACCUAAAAAUAAGCUUAUUUAGUAACGAGCCCGAGCCCGAGCUUCACUUAUCGACCUCGCGAGCCUAAAAAGUCUAUUAUGUAUAUUUUCUUAUUUAAUAUAUUAAUUAUAAGAUAAUAAACGAGUCGAACCCAAGCGAGCUCGAGCUUUGAAAACAAAGCUCGAAUCUAGCCGAGCUAGAGCUCUCAUAAGUUAAUCGAGCUCGAGCUUGGUCAAGCUCGGGCUCGGCUCGUUUGCACCCCGAAACCUACAUGUUUUCUGUAGAACAGGUAAUAUUGCACUAUAUGAUAUGUGUUUAGGACCUUGUUACAAGAUUUGGCUGGAAACUACAUAUCUAUAUCUAUAGUUGUAUUGUUUUUCGUGAUCUAUCUUAUGUAGGAUGUUGCAGAGACAACCCUGGGAUUUAUAAAAGAAGCACCAACUACUAGAAUUACUGGAUUUAAUGUGUACCAUAAAAAAAGUGUAUGAUUCGUGUAGAAUCGAGGCUUUGAUUUAAUUUAGGAUGUUUUUAAGUUUAUUAGUCAAUAUGUCAAAUUAUUUCAGCCCUACUGGAAAGUAACCGGUGAGGGACAUUCGAAAGGGUAUGGGCAUGAAGCAAAUUUCACAGAACCGGCACACGACAAGCAAGAUUUUUUGUGUUUUUACGGCUGGAAAUGAAGCUAAAAGUCUAAAACAAAUGCAAUUGAAAUACUGGUUUGUUUUUCUUUUUUAAACACAAUUACAUUUUAGUAAUUUACAUUUGAGAUUUUUUUGGUAAAGAACACAUGAGACCAUGAUUGGACACGUAGUCGAAAUGGGGGUUCAUGCUAUAUUAUUGUUGAUUAUUGAUGUUGCUACUUAUUUUAAAUUUCUUGAAAUGCAAAAGAUAACAAGAGUCCUUAUCUGUCGGAUAUUAUCUACAGAUGGACUGUACAAAUGAUUCACACCCGAAUUUUAUUGGUGGCAGUAAGGAUGUAGAGUUGCCUAUGCAGCAAGUCAAGUCUUCUUUUUUUUUUUUGGGUAAAGUGCAGCAAGUCAAGUCUUCUAGGAUUGCUUCGGCAGUUUCAAGGCAAAAGGUGUAACUAUGUAUAGUCUGGUGUUAGUUUUGCAUCUUUGCUCGCUUGCUGAUGGCUCUUUUUCUAACUAUUAGUUAAUUUUUGUUGGUCAUGAUGCUGCUGCUGAGUUGGAUAAAGCACCACAAUGUGAAAGAAGUAUCAAGUGAUGCACAUUUCUUAAAUUAACAAGUAUAGUGUGCAGAUUUAGUUUGUUGUGAUGGGCUUCUUUGGAAAUUCAUGGUGAGCAGUUACCGCCAAACAUCCAGAAAGGAUAUGCAUAAGUUGCUCUGAAUCAGGUUGUCUCAUUUGUUGUUCCACACUCCCAUAGCCAUCUUCUUGUCCUCAUAAACAGAUUUCGUAUUGGAUGCUCUAAAUGAUUCAAAGACUGGUGUUGUAGGGUUUCUCUUCAGUUAGCAGGCCUUGUUCGUUACACGACGUUUAUACAAUUGUCGCUCAGCUAAACAUUAUUAAUCAAUGAAUUGUUUAACGUUACCGGGUCAGCCUCCUUUCCGUUUUCGUAUGCCUAGCGCUACACUAAUGAUGUAUUCAAUGCACGGUCUUAGUCUUUACCAUCGCAACUAACCGCUACAGGCUUUUUUUUUUUUUUUUGCUUUGAAUACAUGGGGUAUAGAGAAAUCUGCUAUAGACGCACAUGAAUCGGACAAACCUCAAGUUCAAGAAACGAUUGAAUGUGCUAGGGGUAAUCGACAUGUUUCAGUAAUGCCCACCGGGUGUUUGUUAAUAUAUUUCAAUGAAUUUAGCCAUUAUUGUUUUUCAAAAAGCUAUGAUUAGUUUCUUACAUUAGAUAGCAAAACAUCUAAUCUCAUAGAAUUAUAGAAUUAUGAAUAAAAUAUUGGGAUGCUACAAUUUUUGGGUAGGUUAGUUAUUUAAAAAUACAGAGAUUGAAACAAGAAAUUUUGUUUUAUUCUAUCCUAUCAAAUAUGGUAGAAGAAUCUUUAUUAACAAAGUAAUAAUCUGCCCAAAUUUAUGAGAAAAUUGAAGCGUACAUGAAAAGAUAGUGAAAAUGCACCUUUCUCAUGGGUUUUAAAGUCAAUGACUAAUCGUGUGACUUUUUUUUUAUGUAAUUUUUUUAGGUUGAAAUCUUUUCAUGUUGCAAGGAGAUUGUUUAAAUAUGACACAUUACAAGGUGUUCAGAACGAGUCUUGAGGUUAAUGAACUAGAAAGAACAAAGAAGGAAGGAAAUGAAUAAUAUGUCCUUUGCUUAAUAAUCUCUGAAAUUCAGUUAUUUAUCAUGUAUCUUAAUUUGUAGUGACUAAUGUUUUUCUUUCUUUUUAAUAUCUUACCAAUGGAAAAAAGUGACAACAUGAACUACAAUACUCAUAGGACGGUAUCUCUGAUGGAAAAAAAAGUGACAGUAUGAAGAAUUCCAAUGCUGCUAAGAUGGUAACUCAGAUUUAGCUUCCUUAUUUUAGAGGUGAUCUUAUGUUAACAAAUGAGUCAAAACCAGACAUUUUAGAUGUGGUCAUUAUUUUAAGAAAUGAGUCAAAUGAAGUAAUAUUAUAUCUUCUAACCAGACAGAUGGAAAAUUUCUAAACAGACAAGGUCAAAAGGGCCGAAACCUCAUUUGUAUGCAUAUCCAUGUCCUUUUAUCUAGAUGAUCAUUUAUAUAGUAAAA
Helianthus annuus (common sunflower) is the source of this 3580-nucleotide long non-coding RNA. RefSeq lists it as uncharacterized. The transcript has 5 exons. The record is from RefSeq and is a predicted model, not a curated record. Lineage: Eukaryota; Viridiplantae; Streptophyta; Magnoliopsida; Asterales; Asteraceae.